This 253-nucleotide ribosomal RNA is filed under the name uncultured bacterium. Its description in RNAcentral is "partial 16S ribosomal RNA". It matches the Rfam family "Bacterial small subunit ribosomal RNA", at positions 524 to 776 of the family's 1533-position model. The record is from RNAcentral.
UACGGAGGAGGCAAGCGUUAUCCGGAAUUAUUGGGCGUAAAGCGUCCGCAGGUGGCACUUCAAGUCUGUCGUCAAAGACUGGGGCUUAACCCUGGAAAGGCGGUGGAAACUGAAGCGCUAGAGUGCGGUAGGGGUAGAGGGAAUUCCCGGUGUAGCGGUGAAAUGCGUAGAGAUCGGGAAGAACAUCGGUGGCGAAAGCGCUCUACUGGACAGCAACUGACACUCAGGGACGAAAGCUAGGGGAGCGAAUGGG